Molecule: small nucleolar RNA, 107 nt
Filed under: Oryza nivara
Lineage: Eukaryota; Viridiplantae; Streptophyta; Magnoliopsida; Poales; Poaceae
Description: Plant small nucleolar RNA R71
Rfam family: Plant small nucleolar RNA R71
About the family: R71 is a member of the C/D box family of snoRNAs containing the C (UGAUGA) and D (CUGA) box motifs.
Source: Rfam by way of RNAcentral
AUCCCAUGAUGAGGACAGGUAGCCACAUACUCCUGAAGUCGUUCCCAUGCCUCAGGAAUGGACUCGUCCCUUGUCUGCUAGAAACUUGAAAUUCUCCCACGAAGGGC